GUAUACCGUUACUCAAUACACACGGCUAUUUCACCACCGCAUAUCGACCAACGAAAAAUUGACGUUAUGAAGCUGGCUGCAGUGUUCGGCAAUAGAACAUGACCGACUACAAAUGUAUGAGUUGGAAAAAAAACAUUAAUUAUGACAUUAAGCUUAAAUACAAUAGCAGACGAAAGAAAAACACGUUUAUUAAUCAAACGAAAAGUAUAGAAACAAAAAAAAAAUAAAGAGAGAAACGCUCUGUCUCUAUCAUGGCCCAUGAAGUUAAGCAACG
Long non-coding RNA from Aphis gossypii (cotton aphid), 274 nucleotides. RefSeq lists it as uncharacterized. The record is from RefSeq and is a predicted model, not a curated record. The transcript is spliced from 3 exons. NCBI's taxonomy places the organism in Eukaryota, Metazoa, Arthropoda, Insecta, Hemiptera, Aphididae.